This 178-nucleotide ribosomal RNA is filed under the name uncultured Actinomycetales bacterium. Its description in RNAcentral is "partial 16S ribosomal RNA". It matches the Rfam family "Bacterial small subunit ribosomal RNA", at positions 155 to 334 of the family's 1533-position model. Lineage: Bacteria; Bacillati; Actinomycetota; Actinomycetes; Actinomycetales. The record is from RNAcentral.
AACUGGGGCUAAUACCGGAUAGGAGCUCCUGCUGCAUGGUGGGGGUUGGAAAGUUUCGGCGGUUGGGGAUGGACUCGCGGCCUAUCAGCUUGUUGGUGGGGUAGUGGCUUACCAAGGCUUUGACGGGUAGCCGGCCUGAGAGGGUGACCGGCCACAUUGGGACUGAGAUACGGCCCAG